CCUACGGGGUGCAGCAGUGGGGAAUAUUGGACAAUGGGCGCAAGCCUGAUCCAGCCAUGCCGCGUGUGUGAAGAAGGCCUUCGGGUUGUAAAGCACUUUUGUUGGGGAAGAAACCGACCGGAUUAAUACUUCGGUUGAAUGACGGUACCCAAAGAAUAAGCACCGGCUAACUUCGUGCCAGCAGCCGCGGUAAUACGAAGGGUGCAAGCGUUACUCGGAAUUACUGGGGGUGAUGCGUUAAUAGGCUCUUGAAAGCCCCGGGCUCAACCUGGGAAUGGCGAUGGAUACUGGCAAGCUAGAGUGUGUCAGAGGAUGGUGGAAUUCCCGGUGUAGCGGUGAAAUGCGUAGAGAUCGGGAGGAACACCAGUGGCGAAGGCGGCCAUCUGGGACAACACUGACGCUGAGGCACGAAAGCGUGGGGAGCAAACAGGAUUAGAUACCCUUGUAGUC
Molecule: ribosomal RNA, 450 nt
Filed under: uncultured bacterium
Lineage: Bacteria
Description: partial 16S ribosomal RNA
Rfam family: Bacterial small subunit ribosomal RNA
Source: RNAcentral